AUGCUCUAAUAACCCGUCUCUUAACUUUUAACUAAAAAAACUAAGAAACGGUUCUUAAAACUCUUAUUUAAGAGCUGGUUCUUAGGUUUUUUAGUUAAAAGUUAAGAGACGGGUUCUUAUAUUUC
Brassica oleracea var. oleracea is the source of this 125-nucleotide microRNA precursor. It matches the Rfam family "MIR9563 microRNA precursor family". The record is from Rfam. Lineage: Eukaryota; Viridiplantae; Streptophyta; Magnoliopsida; Brassicales; Brassicaceae.